AGCAGCCGCGGUAAUUCCAGCUCCAAUAGCGUAUAUUAAAGUUGUUGCAGUUAAAAAGCUCGUAGCUGAAUUUCGGGGUUAGUAGAUUGGUCAUGCCUCUGGUAUGUACUGGUCUCACUGAUUCCUCCUUCCUGAUGAACCUUAAUGCCAUUAAUUUGGUGUUUUGGGGAAUUUGGACUGUUACUUUGAAAAAAUUAGAGUGUUUAAAGCAAGCUAACGCUUGAAUACAUUAGCAUGGAAUAAUGAAAUAGGACGUUCGAUCCUAUUUUGUUGGUUUCUAGGAUUGACGUAAUGAUUAAUAGGGAUAGUUGGGGGCAUUAGUAUUCAAUUGUCAGAGGUGAAAUUCUUGGAUUUAUUGAAGACUAACUACUGCGAAAGCAUUUGCCAAGGAUGUUUUCAUUAAUCAAGAACGAAAGUUAGGGGAUCGAAGACGAUCAGAUACCGUCGUAGUCUUAACCAUAAACUAUGCCGACUAGGGAUCGGAUGAUGUUAAUUUUUUAAUGACUCA
This 508-nucleotide ribosomal RNA is filed under the name uncultured glomeraceous AM fungus. RNAcentral describes it as "SSU rRNA". It matches the Rfam family "Eukaryotic small subunit ribosomal RNA", at positions 569 to 1078 of the family's 1831-position model. The record is from RNAcentral. Lineage: Eukaryota; Fungi; Glomeromycota; Glomeromycetes; Glomerales; Glomeraceae.